This is a non-coding RNA of Rattus norvegicus (Norway rat), 1234 nucleotides long. The record is from RefSeq and is a predicted model, not a curated record. NCBI's taxonomy places the organism in Eukaryota, Metazoa, Chordata, Mammalia, Rodentia, Muridae.
UCGGAAGGUCAGGGGUUAGUGGGUGGUGACAAGCCGCUGCUGGUGGCGGUGUUCGCCGGUCCUGGGUCUAUGGCGCCACCCCAGAGAUGUCCUCUGUGUCGGCAGACUUUCUUCUGUGGUCGCGGGCACGUUUACAGCCACAAGCACCAGCGGCAGUUGAAGGGGGCUCUGGAGCGGUUUCUACCGCAGGUGGAGGCCGCCCGCAGGGCCGUCCGCGCCGCCCAGGUGGAGUGCUAUGUCCCGGAGCACGACCGGUGCUGUUGGUGCCCGUGUUGUGGCUGCGAAGUGCGAAAACACCUGAGCCAUGGAAACCUGACAGUGCUACACGGGGGUCUGCUGGAACAUCUGGCCAGCCCAGAACAUAAGAAAGCCACCAACAAAUUCUGGUGGGAGAACAAGGCCCAUGCCCAGGUGAAAGAGAAGUUUCUGAUCUCCCCCCCGGAUUAUGCACGGUUUAAGAAAUCGAUGGUGAAGGGCUUGGACUCCUAUGAGGAAAGGGAGGAUGAGGUGAUUAAAGAGAUGGCAGCUCAGAUCCGUGAGGUAGAACAGAGUCGGCAGGAAGUGGUCCGAUCUGUCUUAGAGCCUCAGGCAGAGUCAGAUCCAGAAGAGGGUUCUUCGGCACCUGAAAGUUGGAAAGCUGCCAAUGGCCUGGCUCCCCUGUCUUUCAGCCAUGGAGCCUCCAGCUCACAGCAGGUAUCACACUUGGACUUGCAACCUGUUGCAGAGCUUGAUUGGAUGGAGACAGGACCGCACCUAACAUUCAUUGGGCAUCAGGAUACACCCGGAGUUGGUAACAUUCACUCAGGUAAGUUUCUGAGCAGUGUUUGUGGGUCUACAAAAUGGUCUUUUGGUUUCUGCUGAGACAGUUUAUGUAGCAAUGGCUAUCUCUGCCUGAGAGCUGGGAUUGAAGUAGGCAUUACCAUGCCCAGCUAUUUUGAACACGGUCCUUAUUAUUCACACUGACCUUGAGUUCUUGAAACAACUUUUUAAAGACAUGGAUAUCUAACCAAUUUGCUGGAUUUUUUCCCCCUUUUGGUUUUCUGAGGGGUUUAUUCCUGUGUAGCCCUGGCCAUCCUGAGAGUCAAUCUGUAGACCAUGCUGGCCUAUUUCUCAGAGAUCCACCCACCUCUGCCUCGGAUUAAAGGUGCCACACCUCCAUGGAUGAUCCAAGAGGAGGAGCACAGCUCUGGAAGCCUCCCAAUAGGACCCUCCUAUGAAGAAUUUCUUAAAGAAA